Molecule: long non-coding RNA, 569 nt
Organism: Diceros bicornis minor
Lineage: Eukaryota; Metazoa; Chordata; Mammalia; Perissodactyla; Rhinocerotidae
Exons: 3
Source: RefSeq, a predicted model, not a curated record
GGGAGGGCGCGCCUGCUCCCAGCUGCAGCCCUGCUCCCGGGCCUGCAGCCCCGGCUUAGCCGCCGCUCCGGGCUCCGUCUUCUCCUCUACCAAACGGUGCGGGCCUUCCCCUGGCUCCGGGCUGUCUGAGGACCGGGUGUGGAGCUGAUGGUCUCGGGAGGGAGACAGACAGAAAACAGAGAAUCUCACAAAUGAAUAUGUAAUGAGAAGUUUGAUAAGUGCAUGUGACGGAAAAAAUCAAUAAGUCACCACACUGGACAUGAGUCCCCAGGACCUAUGUAUCUAAACAGCUGCUCUGAUGACGAGAUGAUCCUGGAGUCUCCAGCUGGGUCCAAGUCAUCACAGAGAUCCUGAGACGUGGAAGGUAACAUACGGAUCACAUAAGAGAAAAAGUGGGAGAGAACAGAGGGAUCCAGAGGGAGAAAGACUUGGCCUGACGCCGGCUUGAAGAAGGAGGCAGGGAGCCCGGGCUGGGCGCUGAGCUCUGCGGACAGCCUGAGUGAGCAGGAAAGGGUGCCCCGAGCCUCUGGACAGGAGCGCACCUGUCCCCUUGGAUUUGGCUUUAUGGG